This is a long non-coding RNA of Lagopus muta (rock ptarmigan), 2068 nucleotides long. RefSeq lists it as uncharacterized. Lineage: Eukaryota; Metazoa; Chordata; Aves; Galliformes; Phasianidae. The transcript has 3 exons. The record is from RefSeq and is a predicted model, not a curated record.
CCUCUCCUGAAGUCUCAAGGACCUGAAUCUUUCCUGUAAUCUGAGGAACCUGAGGUUUGCCACAGGACAGGGCUACUUUUGGAGCUAGGUUAAUCACUUGCAGUUUAACAGGAACUCAGCUACAAAAGAGCUGGAACACCAAGCACUUGCUUGGCUGGAAACAAAGUCACGCUGUCAGCCAGCAAUCAGGAAAUUAAAACGAUGGCACUAUUUUUGGCAUCGUUAAGAAAAAAUGGCAAUUACAUUGCUAAAAUUCUAUUGUUGUUUUAAUAAGGUGUUACUAAGAGGGUGUUUACACAUCAGGACUCUUGAAGAUAUUUGCAUCUUGACCACGCUCCUGUAAUUACCUAGCUGCGCUGGCCCACGUGCGUGAAGAGGAAUCCUGUCCCUGUAUCCGCUCCUGCAUUCCCGGUUGUGUGGUGUUACAUCAAAGCACAGCCAACAGGUCCACACAAAGAGGACAGGAAUGGCCCAGCCGCAGGGGCAAGGUAAGUCCUGCUGGGCUCAUCAAUGCUGAGGAAGGGCAGUCAGGUUGUAAUCAGCAUAAUUAACACCGCCGUACCCUGAAUCCUCUUUACAUCCAAGUCACACGACAACCUCAAGGAAAUGGAUUUCUUUUUCCUGCUAUGGAAAUAGGCAAAACAUCUCCAGCUGAUCUCCAUAAUGAGAAAGAAAGGUCUCCUCUGCAGGUAAGGUUUCUGAAAGCAGGAUUUCACCUAUGUGCAGGGAAAGCUCAGAGGUUGGCUCAAGGCAUCUGCCAGCCCUCAGCACUUUUUAAAGGUCAUGUUUCAGGCUCAAGGGCUUUGUCGAUGCCCUUGAUGAGACGAUUCAAUGACGGGAGGUGCGUUGGAGAGCUGCUGCUGAGCUCAGAACUCAGCUGUGACACGGUGGCUGGCCUUUGGUCGGAAGGGGUGUGUAGGGAACAUCCCUGUUUCACAAGGCAGCGAUGCCUUGUUAGUACUGGCAACAGAGGCCAAUUACCUAAUAGGCCAAGAGUUCCCAUGUUUCUCCUCCCCUUCUGUGUAAACAUUUAAAAUAAAAGGAUUUUUUACUUAUUACAUAACAUCCUUUUGAUUUAAGAAAAAAAAAAAAGCAGUAACUUUACCUAGAAAAGUAAUAGCAGGAAGACGUUCAGCCUUAUGCACUCAGGAUUUGCAGCCAGCACUAUGGGAGUUCAGCCCUAUGGGAAAGGCAGUAUCUCUUCCACCUGUCCUUGUCCUCUACCUGCAGCCAGGGAGCCCCUGAAUCGCCUGCACCAGGAGCACCAAGGCUGGUGAUGCUUCUCCAGAGGCAAACAGCACACAGCAGAACACUCCUAGUCCCAUUCCCUCCCUCAUCACUCCUUUACUAUGUGCUCUGGGAUGCAGUACUGACAGGAAAUCUACUGGGCAAGAGUGAUUUCAAUGAGUUUUGUUCUGUUGAUCUCUUUAGGUAACAAAUACUGGUAGCCCUGCGUGGCUAUCAUUCACUGGUGAACAGAAAUCAUCGCCAUGCAAGCAAAGCUGAGUUCUUCUGGGCUACCCAGCUGUAUCCGUUACCCUUGUCUGAACAAGCAGCUCCAGGGCAAUGUCCCAUCCGUGCUCUGAAAGUACCAGAAAGGCAGUGGCACUGAACCGAUCUGAGCAGCAGCGGCAUUUGGCAUUCUCCCCAGAGCUGUCUGAGCAAACAAGGCAAAGGGAAAAGCGCCUGUCCCUCCCUCUCUCCACCUGCCCAGUGACUCAGAACAACUAGAAAUGGCAGCUUUGCUCUUGCUGCUGCCAAAUGCAGACCGAUACACCCGAUACACCCGGCAGAGCGAAGGCAGCAGGAGUGCCAAGGAAUCUUCCUCUGAAGAUGAAGGAAGAUAAGUGCUGUGACUGAAGCCUUAGGGUGGUAGAGCUUCAGAUGCAGAGCUACGUCGGCCUGCUUCUCCUAUUCUAUUCAGGCUGAUCGCUCUGCAUUCUGGAUUACGAGAAAUCCAUCAAUCAAGCACUCACUGUAUCCACAGCCACUGAAACUGCUGCAGCAUAAAGAGAAAUCAAGCUGCAGGCUUUUACCACAAUGCUGGGCUCUCAAACAACGGAAGAUA